Molecule: ribosomal RNA, 497 nt
Filed under: uncultured bacterium
Lineage: Bacteria
Description: partial 16S ribosomal RNA
Rfam family: Bacterial small subunit ribosomal RNA
Source: RNAcentral
GAUGAACGCUGGCGGCGUGCCUAAUACAUGCAAGUCGAGCGAACAGAUGAGGAGCUUGCUCCUCUGACGUUAGCGGCGGACGGGUGAGUAACACGUGGAUAACCUACCUAUAAGACUGGGAUAACUUCGGGAAACCGGAGCUAAUACCGGAUAAUAUAUUGAACCGCAUGGUUCAAUAGUGAAAGACGGUUUUGCUGUCACUUAUAGAUGGAUCCGCGCCGCAUUAGCUAGUUGGUAAGGUAACGGCUUACCAAGGCAACGAUGCGUAGCCGACCUGAGAGGGUGAUCGGCCACACUGGAACUGAGGCACGGUCCAGACUCCUACGGGAGGCAGCAGUAGGGAAUCUUCCGCAAUGGGCGAAAGCCUGACGGAGCAACGCCGCGUGAGUGAUGAAGGUCUUCGGAUCGUAAAACUCUGUUAUUAGGGAAGAACAAAUGCGUAAGUAACUAUGCACGUCUUGACGGUACCUAAUCAGAAAGCCACGGCUAACUACGUG